RNAcentral lists this transfer RNA (262 nucleotides) under Sugarcane phytoplasma type G. RNAcentral describes it as "transfer RNA-Ile". The stretch from base 115 to 188 matches the Rfam family "tRNA". Lineage: Bacteria; Bacillati; Mycoplasmatota; Mollicutes; Acholeplasmatales; Acholeplasmataceae. The record is from RNAcentral.
CCUCCUUUCUAAGGAAACAAUUAUCAUCCUCAGUUUUGAGAGACUUAAGAAAGUUUUUCAUUGUCACUUGCUUGCAAAUUGUAUUUGCAACAUUUUAAUCUUUUCAAGAUUAAGGGCCUUAUAGCUCAGUUGGUUAGAGCACACGCCUCAUAAGCGUGAGGUCGGUGGUUCAAGUCCAUUUAGGCCCACCAUAACCACAAAUAGGCAAAAUCUUAAAAAAGCUUUUUGAAAAGUAGAUAAACGAAGGUUAAAAAAUCAAAGG